AAGUCGAGCGGAACGAGUUGUCUGAACCUUCGGGGAACGAUAACGGCGUCGAGCGGCGGACGGGUGAGUAAUGCCUGGGAAAUUGCCCUGAUGUGGGGGAUAACCAUUGGAAACGAUGGCUAAUACCGCAUAAUAGCUUCGGCUCAAAGAGGGGGACCUUCGGGCCUCUCGCGUCAGGAUAUGCCCAGGUGGGAUUAGCUAGUUGGUGAGGUAAUGGCUCACCAAGGCGACGAUCCCUAGCUGGUCUGAGAGGAUGAUCAGCCACACUGGAACUGAGACACGGUCCAGACUCCUACGGGAGGCAGCAGUGGGGAAUAUUGCACAAUGGGCGCAAGCCUGAUGCAGCCAUGCCGCGUGUAUGAAGAAGGCCUUCGGGUUGUAAAGUACUUUCAGCAGUGAGGAAGGUGGUAGUGUUAAUAGCACUAUCAUUUGACGUUAGCUGCAGAAGAAGCACCGGCUAACUCCGUGCCAGCAGC
Molecule: ribosomal RNA, 476 nt
Filed under: bacterium BCM39
Lineage: Bacteria
Description: bacterial SSU rRNA
Rfam family: Bacterial small subunit ribosomal RNA
Source: RNAcentral